RNAcentral lists this ribosomal RNA (253 nucleotides) under uncultured bacterium. RNAcentral describes it as "partial 16S ribosomal RNA". It matches the Rfam family "Bacterial small subunit ribosomal RNA", at positions 524 to 776 of the family's 1533-position model. The record is from RNAcentral.
UACGUAGGGACCAAGCGUUGUUCGGAUUUACUGGGCGUAAAGGGCGCGUAGGCGGCGAAUCAAGUCAGCUGUGAAAUCUCCGAGCUUAACUCGGAACGGUCAGCUGAUACUGUUUUGCUAGAGUGCAGAAAGGGCAACCGGAAUUCUUGGUGUAGCGGUGAAAUGCGUAGAUAUCAAGAGGAACACCAGUGGCGAAGGCGGGUCUCUGGACAGUUCCUGACGCUGAGGCACGAAGGCCAGGGGAGCAAACGGG